AAACUUUCCAGUUUUGGAACUGUAUGUGUUUACAUCAUUUGAAAUUUGCUCCAAGUCACCUUCUGAUGCUCUUUGAGUAUCUUGAGUGUUUUUACUCUUGUUUGCAUCAUUCCCCCUCCCCUCAAAAGGAUUCGUCCUCGAAUCAAUUCUUGCAUCAAUUUCAAAAGGGGAUAGAUUAUAUAUGUUAAAUGUAGCCGAAACACUAUACUCACCUAGUAGGUCCACUUUCUAGGCAUUUUCAUUGAUUUUGGCUAUGAUUUGAAAUGGACCAUCCCCAUGAGCAUCCAACUUAGAUUUCUGUUUUGAUGGAAAUCGUUCCUUGCGCAUAU
RNAcentral lists this long non-coding RNA (329 nucleotides) under Carica papaya (papaya). RNAcentral describes it as "long non-coding RNA (CPAP_LNC000321)". The record is from RNAcentral. Lineage: Eukaryota; Viridiplantae; Streptophyta; Magnoliopsida; Brassicales; Caricaceae.